AAACCAGCACCUCAAGUGGUCAGGAGGAUUAUUGGGCCUAAAGCAUCCGUAGCCUGUUCUGUAAGUUUUCGGUUAAAUCCAUUAGCUCAACUAAUGGGCUGCCGAAAAUACUGUAGAACUAGGGAGUGGGAGAGGUAGACGGUAUUCGGUAGGAAGGGGUAAAAUCCUUUGAUCUAUUGAGGACCACCUGUGGCGAAGGCGGUCUACCAGAACACGUUCGACGGUGAGGGAUGAAAGCUGGGGGAGCAAACCGGAUUAGAAACCCGAGUAGUCC
This 274-nucleotide ribosomal RNA is filed under the name uncultured bacterium. RNAcentral's name for it is "partial 16S ribosomal RNA". It matches the Rfam family "Archaeal small subunit ribosomal RNA", at positions 473 to 747 of the family's 1478-position model. The record is from RNAcentral.